Molecule: ribosomal RNA, 543 nt
Filed under: aff. Alternaria sp.
Lineage: Eukaryota; Fungi; Ascomycota; Dothideomycetes; Pleosporales; Pleosporaceae
Description: eukaryotic LSU rRNA
Rfam family: 5.8S ribosomal RNA (bases 188-341)
Source: RNAcentral
GGUGACCUGCGGAGGGACAUUACACAAAUAUGAAGGCGGGCUGGAACCUCUCGGGGUUACAGCCUUGCUGAAUUAUUCACCCUUGUCUUUUGCGUACUUCUUGUUUCCUUGGUGGGUUCGCCCACCACUAGGACAAACAUAAACCUUUUGUAAUUGCAAUCAGCGUCAGUAACAAAUUAAUAAUUACAACUUUCAACAACGGAUCUCUUGGUUCUGGCAUCGAUGAAGAACGCAGCGAAAUGCGAUAAGUAGUGUGAAUUGCAGAAUUCAGUGAAUCAUCGAAUCUUUGAACGCACAUUGCGCCCUUUGGUAUUCCAAAGGGCAUGCCUGUUCGAGCGUCAUUUGUACCCUCAAGCUUUGCUUGGUGUUGGGCGUCUUGUCUCUAGCUUUGCUGGAGACUCGCCUUAAAGUAAUUGGCAGCCGGCCUACUGGUUUCGGAGCGCAGCACAAGUCGCACUCUCUAUCAGCAAAGGUCUAGCAUCCAUUAAGCCUUUUUUUCAACUUUUGACCUCGGAUCAGGUAGGGAUACCCGCUGAACUUAAG